GUUGUAUGGUUAAGUGACUAAGCGUACACGGUGGAUGCCUUGGCAGUUGGAGGCGAUGAAGGACGUACUAACUUGCGAUAAGCCUAGUCAAGCCAGUAAGAGGCGCUUGAGACUAGGAUUUCCGAAUGGGGAAACCCACCUGCUUGCAGGUAUCGUUAACUGAAUACAUAGGUUAACGAGGCGAACGCGGAGAACUGAAACAUCUAAGUACCCGUAGGAAAAGAAAUCAACCGAGAUUCCGAAAGUAGCGGCGAGCGAAAUCGGAGCAGCCCUUAAGCUUUAGUGUAGUUAGUGGAAUAUGCUGGAAAGCAUGACGAAACAGGGUGAUAGUCCCGUACACAAAAACUUAUCUAAAGUGAAAUCGAGUAGGUCGGAGCACGUGAAACUUUGACUGAAUAUGGGGGGACCAUCCUCCAAGGCUAAAUACUCCCAACUGACCGAUAGUGAACCAGUACCGUGAGGGAAAGGCGAAAAGAACCCCUGUGAGGGGAGUGAAAUAGAACCUGAAACCGUGUACGUACAAGCAGUAGGAGCCUACUUGUUGGGUGACUGCGUACCUUUUGUAUAAUGGGUCAGCGACUUAUAUUCUGUAGCGAGGUUAACCAUUUAGGGGAGCCGUAGCGAAAGCGAGUCUUAACUGGGCGCUUAAGUUGCAGGGUAUAGACCCGAAACCCGGUGAUCUAGCCAUGGGCAGGUUGAAGGUUGAGUAACAUCAACUGGAGGACCGAACCCACUAACGUUGAAAAGUUAGGGGAUGACCUGUGGCUAGGAGUGAAAGGCUAAUCAAACCGGGAGAUAGCUGGUUCUCCCCGAAAUCUAUUUAGGUAGAGCCUCGGACGAAUACUUACGGGGGUAGAGCACUGUUAAGGCUAGGGGUCAUCCCGACUUACCAACCCUUUGCAAACUCCGAAUACCGUAAAGUAAUAUCCGGGAGACACACGGCGGGUGCUAACGUCCGUCGUGGAGAGGGAAACAACCCAGACCGUCAGCUAAGGUCCCAAAGUGUAUGUUAAGUGGGAAACGAUGUGGGAAGGCUAAAACAGCUAGGAGGUUGGCUUAGAAGCAGCCACCCUUUAAAGAAAGCGUAAUAGCUCACUAGUCGAGUCGGCCUGCGCGGAAGAUGUAACGGGGCUAAACAUACCACCGAAGCUACGGCUGCGUACGUAAGUAUGCGGGGUAGGGGAGCGUUCUGUAAGUGGCUGAAGGUGUGCCGGGAGGCAUGCUGGACAUAUCAGAAGUGCGAAUGCUGACAUGAGUAACGACAAGAGGAGUGAAAAACUCCUCCGCCGGAAGACCAAGGGUUCCUAUCCCAUGUUAAUCAGGGUAGGGUGAGUCGACCCCUAAGGCGAGGCUGAAGAGCGUAGUCGAUGGGAAACGGGUUAAUAUUCCCGUACUCGGUAUGAAUGCGAUGGGGGGACGGAGCAGGCUAGGCAAGCAUGGCGUUGGUUGUCCAUGUGAAAGGCUGUAGGCUGGUGACUUAGGAAAAUCCGGGUUGCCAAGGCUGAGAGUCGAGACGAGCCACCAAGGUGGUGAAGUUGUUGAUGCCCUACUUCCAGGAAAAGCCUCUAAGCUUCAGUUCAUACUGAAUCGUACCCUAAACCGACACAGGUGGUCAGGUAGAGAAUACUAAGGCGCUUGAGAGAACUCGGGUGAAGGAACUAGGCAAAAUUGUACCGUAACUUCGGGAGAAGGUACGCUCUUGUUUGUGAAGGACUUGCUCUGUAAGCAAACGAGAGCCGCAGUGACCAGGUGGCUGGGACUGUUUAUUAAAAACACAGCACUGUGCAAAAUCGUAAGAUGACGUAUACGGUGUGACACCUGCCCGGUGCCGGAAGGUUAAUUGAUGGGGUUAGACUUCGGUCGAAGCUCUUGAUCGAAGCCCCGGUAAACGGCGGCCGUAACUAUAACGGUCCUAAGGUAGCGAAAUUCCUUGUCGGGUAAGUUCCGACCUGCACGAAUGGUGUAACCAUGGCCACGCUGUCUCCACCCGAGACUCAGUGAAAUUGAAAUCGCAGUGAAGAUGCUGUGUACCCGCGGCUAGACGGAAAGACCCCGUGAACCUUUACUACAGCUUGGCACUGAACAUUGACCCUACAUGUGUAGGAUAGGUGGGAGGCUUUGAAGCAGGAACGCUAGUUUCUGUGGAGCCGACCUUGAAAUACCACCCUUGUAGUGUUGAUGUUCUAACUUAGGCCCCUGAAUCGGGGUUGAGGACAGUGCCUGGUGGGUAGUUUGACUGGGGCGGUCUCCUCCCAAAGAGUAACGGAGGAGCACGAAGGUUUGCUAAGUACGGUCGGACAUCGUACGGUUAGUGUAAUGGUAGAAGCAAGCUUAACUGCGAGACAGACACGUCGAGCAGGUACGAAAGUAGGUCAUAGUGAUCCGGUGGUUCUGAAUGGAAGGGCCAUCGCUCAACGGAUAAAAGGUACUCCGGGGAUAACAGGCUGAUACCGCCCAAGAGUUCAUAUCGACGGCGGUGUUUGGCACCUCGAUGUCGGCUCAUCACAUCCUGGGGCUGAAGUCGGUCCCAAGGGUAUGGCUGUUCGCCAUUUAAAGUGGUACGCGAGCUGGGUUUAGAACGUCGUGAGACAGUUCGGUCCCUAUCUGCCGUGGGCGUUUGAGAAUUGAGAGGGGCUGCUCCUAGUACGAGAGGACCGGAGUGGACGAACCGCUGGUGUUCGGGUUGUGAUGCCAAUUGCAUUGCCCGGUAGCUACGUUCGGAACUGAUAACCGCUGAAAGCAUCUAAGCGGGAAGCAGGCCUCGAGAUGAGUUCUCACUUUGACUUAGAGUCAACUGAAGGGCCGUUGAAGACUACAACGUUGAUAGGCGAGAUGUGGAAGUGCUGUGAGGCAUUAAGCUAACUCGUACUAAUUACCCGUGAGGCUUAACCAUACAACGCCAAAGUGGUUU
RNAcentral lists this ribosomal RNA (2911 nucleotides) under Pseudoalteromonas sp. M8. RNAcentral describes it as "23S ribosomal RNA". It matches the Rfam family "Bacterial large subunit ribosomal RNA". Lineage: Bacteria; Pseudomonadati; Pseudomonadota; Gammaproteobacteria; Alteromonadales; Pseudoalteromonadaceae. The record is from RNAcentral.